Molecule: ribosomal RNA, 497 nt
Filed under: uncultured bacterium
Lineage: Bacteria
Description: partial 16S ribosomal RNA
Rfam family: Bacterial small subunit ribosomal RNA
Source: RNAcentral
GAUGAACGCUGGCGGCGUGCCUAAUACAUGCAAGUCGAGCGAACGGACGAGAAGCUUGCUUCUCUGAUGUUAGCGGCGGACGGGUGAGUAACACGUGGAUAACCUACCUAUAAGACUGGGAUAACUUCGGGAAACCGGAGCUAAUACCGGAUGAUAUUUUGAACCGCAUGGUUCAAAAGUGAAAGACGGUCUUGCUGUCACUUAUAGAUGGAUCCGCGCUGCAUUAGCUAGUUGGUAAGGUAACGGCUUACCAAGGCAACGAUGCAUAGCCGACCUGAGAGGGUGAUCGGCCACACUGGAACUGAGACACGGUCCCGACUCCUACGGGAGGCAGCAGUAGGGAAUCUUCCGCAAUGGGCGAAAGCCUGACGGAGCAACGCCGCGUGAGUGAUGAAGGUCUUCGGAUCGUAAAACUCUGUUAUUAGGGAAGAACAUAUGUGUAAGUAACUGUGCACAUCUUGACGGUACCUAAUCAGAAAGCCACGGCUAACUACGUG